GCCGGAGUGGCGGAACUGGCAGACGCGCUGGAUUCAAAAUCCAGUUAGGUUCACCCCGAGUGUGGGUUCGAGUCCCACCUUCGGCA
RNAcentral lists this transfer RNA (86 nucleotides) under Planctomycetaceae bacterium. Its description in RNAcentral is "tRNA-Leu". It matches the Rfam family "tRNA". From Rfam's summary of the family: Transfer RNA (tRNA) molecules are approximately 80 nucleotides in length. Their secondary structure includes four short double-helical elements and three loops (D, anti-codon, and T loops). The record is from RNAcentral. Lineage: Bacteria; Pseudomonadati; Planctomycetota; Planctomycetia; Planctomycetales; Planctomycetaceae.